UGCGGAGGGUGCAAGCGUUGUCCGGAUUUAUUGGGUUUAAAGGGUGCGUAGGCGGCCCUGUAAGUCAGUGGUGAAAUACUGCAGCUUAACUGUAGCAUUGCCAUUGAUACUGUAGGGCUUGAGUACAGAUGAGGUAGGCGGAAUUGAUGGUGUAGCGGUGAAAUGCAUAGAUACCAUCAAGAACACCGAUUGCGAAGGCAGCUUACUAAGCUGUAACUGACGCUGAGGCACGAAAGCGUGGGGAUCGAACAGG
RNAcentral lists this ribosomal RNA (253 nucleotides) under uncultured bacterium. RNAcentral's name for it is "partial 16S ribosomal RNA". It matches the Rfam family "Bacterial small subunit ribosomal RNA", at positions 524 to 776 of the family's 1533-position model. The record is from RNAcentral.